Molecule: long non-coding RNA, 223 nt
Organism: Sinocyclocheilus rhinocerous
Lineage: Eukaryota; Metazoa; Chordata; Actinopteri; Cypriniformes; Cyprinidae
Exons: 3
Source: RefSeq, a predicted model, not a curated record
CUUUUGGGUGCAAUGGCAAUUAAGAGGCAUGAAUUUUGAGCGGGAGAAACUUUCUUUGUCUCUUGUUUAUGGUCCAUUUGCAUGUUUAUUGCUGGUCUGGAAGAUCGGUGCAGUUUUACCUAAAAUAUGCUACAAAUAGUAAGAUGCAUUUCACGAUCACAUAGUGUACAUCAUUGUUUGAGGAAUAAAGAGCAGAUCAUUUUGAUACCAAGAACGAAACAUC